This 468-nucleotide ribosomal RNA is filed under the name uncultured bacterium. Its description in RNAcentral is "partial 16S ribosomal RNA". It matches the Rfam family "Bacterial small subunit ribosomal RNA", at positions 28 to 507 of the family's 1533-position model. The record is from RNAcentral.
GACGAACGCUGGCGGCGUGCUUAACACAUGCAAGUCGAACGGAAAGGCCCUGCUUUUGUGGGGUGCUCGAGUGGCGAACGGGUGAGUAACACGUGAGUAACCUGCCCUUGACUUUGGGAUAACUUCAGGAAACUGGGGCUAAUACCGGAUAGGAGCUCCUGCUGCAUGGUGGGGGUUGGAAAGUUUCGGCGGUUGGGGAUGGACUCGCGGCUUAUCAGCUUGUUGGUGGGGUAGUGGCUUACCAAGGCUUUGACGGGUAGCCGGCCUGAGAGGGUGACCGGCGAGAUUGGGACUAAGAUACGGCCCAGACGCCUACGGGAGGCAGCAGUGGGGAGUAUUGCACAAUGGGCGGAAGCCUGAUGCAGCAACGCCGCGUGCGGGAUGACGGCCUUCGGGUUGUAAACCGCUUUCGCCUGUGACGAAGCGUGAGUGACGGUAAUGGGUAAAGAAGCACCGGCUAACUACGUG